Molecule: microRNA precursor, 121 nt
Filed under: Bombyx mori (domestic silkworm)
Lineage: Eukaryota; Metazoa; Arthropoda; Insecta; Lepidoptera; Bombycidae
Description: microRNA bmo-mir-31 precursor
Gene: bmo-mir-31
Rfam family: mir-31 microRNA precursor family (bases 9-89)
Source: miRBase by way of RNAcentral
GUCGAGCCGGUGGCUGGGAAGGCAAGAAGUCGGCAUAGCUGUUUGAAUAAGAUACACGGCUGUGUCACUUCGAGCCAGCUCAAUCCGCCGGCUUUCUUCAAUUUCAAGAUUUGCGGAUGCU